UCAUUAUCUUCCCGCACAAAAGAGCUUUACAACCCUAGGGCCUUCAUCACUCACGCGGCAUGGCUGGAUCAGGCUUGCGCCCAUUGUCCAAUAUUCCCCACUGCUGCCUCCCGUAGGACGGGAGGGAGCAGUGGGGAAUAUUGGACAAUGGGCGCAAGCCUGAUCCAGCCAUGCCGCGUGAA
RNAcentral lists this ribosomal RNA (182 nucleotides) under uncultured Bradyrhizobium sp. RNAcentral's name for it is "partial 16S ribosomal RNA". The record is from RNAcentral. Lineage: Bacteria; Pseudomonadati; Pseudomonadota; Alphaproteobacteria; Hyphomicrobiales; Nitrobacteraceae.